Schistosoma mattheei is the source of this 45-nucleotide non-coding RNA. The record is from Rfam. Lineage: Eukaryota; Metazoa; Platyhelminthes; Trematoda; Strigeidida; Schistosomatidae.
AUCCAGCUGACGACUCCCAAAUAAAAAGAAACGCGCGUUCCGGAU